UCCUGUCUGUGAGGAAGUUGAAGAUCCAGCUGCAGAUCUGAGUGCUAAGACCCAGGUUCUGGAGCUUAGGAAUCAGUUUAUUUGGAAUGAUGGUAUUAAAGGCAGAGCUGUAGUCGAUGAAAAUGAGCCUUACAUAUGUGUCUUUAUUCUCCAGGUGUUCUAAGGAGGAAUGUAGUGCCAGAGAGAUGGCAUCUGCCGUUGACCUGUUGCUCCGGUAGGCGAAUUGCAAAGCAUCGAGGUUGACCGGACCGUGUCAGUAUGAAGAGAUUAUUGAAAGAUCAUGAUUAUUGCAUCCAUUAUCUCCUCAGGGACCUCUCUCAAAACUCUGGGAUGUAGUCCAUCUGGUCCAGGUCCCCAGAAGGGUACAGGUCCCCUUCUCCAGAAGAGGUCCCAAUGAUCCAGAAAUCUGAAUCCCUGCCCCCUGCUCCAACUCUUCAGCCAUGCAUUUAUCUGCCAUCUCAUUCUAUUCCUGUCCUCACUGUUGUGUGGCACAGGCAGCAAUCCUGAGAUUACCAGAACUAUUGAAUUUACUUUAUUUCUUACAUCCUAUACAAACACGAGGAGUAAAAAUCUUUACGUUAUGUCUUCAUCUAAAUGUGCAAUGUGCAAUCUUAGUAAAUUAUAAUAAAUAGAACAGUAAAUGUAACAUCAAAAUACACUCAAAUCAGCGUGAGUUAAUCAGUCUGAUGGCCUGAUGGAAGAAGCUGUCCUGGAGCCUGUUGGUCCUGGCUUUUAUGCUGUGGUACCGUUUCCCGGAUGGUAGCAGCUGGAAUAGACCAUGGUUGGGGUGACUUGGGUCUCCAAUGAUCCUUCUGGCCCUUUUUUCCCACACCGUCUUUGUAAAUAUCCUGAAUCAUGGGAACUAAGGGACAUAGUCUCAAGAUUCGAGGGAGUAGUUUUAGGGCGGAGAUGAGGAGGAAUAACUUUUCCCAAAGAGUAGUGAAUCUGUGGAAUUCUCUGCCCAAUGAAGCAGUGGAGGCUUCCUCAGUAAAUAUAUUUAAGACAAGGUUGGAUAGAUUUUUGCAUAGUAGGGGAAUUAAGGGUUAUGGGGAAAAGACAGGUAGGUGAAGGUGAGUCCUUAUUCAGUGGCAGAGCAGGCUCGACGGGCCAGAUGGCCUACUCCUGCUCCUAUUUCUUAUAUUCUUAUUACUACCCUUGAGGUCCUGCUUCUCAGCUUCCUUCCUAACUGCCUGGAUUCUGUUUUCAGGACCUCCUCCCCUUUUCUGAGAGGGAUGGCCACAGAGGCGCUCACCACUAUCUAACAUUCUCCCUUCCCUCUCCUGACAGUCACACACUUAUCUGUCUACUGUGGCCACAAUGUGGCUACCUGCCUGUAACUCUAUCAAUCACCUCCUCACUUUCCCUAACAAGCUGAAGGUCAGCGAGCUGCAGCUCCAGUUCCCUAACUAACACAGUCUCCAAGGAGCUGCAUCUCGAUGCGUCUUUGCAGACGUGACCAUCAGAGGGGCUGGAUGUCUCCUGGAAAUCCCACAUUUGACACACAGUAGAGAACACUGGCUCUGCAGACAUACCCUCUAUUCUCUCAAGAGUUAAUUCAGAAAAAAAGUUAAAUAAGAAAUAAGGAAUGAACUUACCUACUUCCCUUGCCUCUGCCUGUUCUCACCAAAGCCUUAUUGAGUCAAAACCCUCCUAUUCUAACUCAGACUACUCCCAAUAUGACUGCUUUGCUAGGCAGUACCCCUCUUAUAGAGACAGGCUUUUCAAAGCUCUUCACCAGAGCUGUGCAGGAAUGCUUCUGUUGUGUCUGCGCAUUUCUCCAAUCAACGACUCUCAUUGAAAAACUUCCUCCCUUUUAUGCCAGGGACCAAUAGCAUUAAGCUAUUGGUCAUGGAUACUAGGUUAAGAACCCUUGCCCUAAACUAAUCUCUGGAACAUUACUGACACUUCCCUCCCUUUUCUCAACCUCUCUGUCUCUAUUGCUGGAGACAGCUUAUCUACUGAUGUCUUUUAUAAACCCACUGACUCUCACACUUACCUGGGACUAUACCUCCUCUCAUCCUGCUACUUGUAAAAAUGCCAUCCCCUUCUCUCAAUUCCUCUGUCUCCACUGCAAGAGCUCUCAGAAUAAGGCUUUUCAUUCCAGAACUAAGGAAAUGUCCUCCUCCUUCAAAGAAAGGUGCUUCCCUUCCUCCACCAUCAACUCUGCCCUCAACUGCAUCUCUUCCACUUCACGUUUUCCUUCACCCCAUCAGUGAUAGGGUUCCGCUUGUCCUCACCUACCACCCCAUCAGGCUCCGCGUGCAGCACAGAAUUCUCUGUAAUUUCUGCCACUUUCAUCGGGAUCCCAUCACCAAGCACAUCUUUCUCUCCGUGCCCAAUUUCUGGUUUCCUCGUGGAUCGCUCCCUACACACCUCCCUUGUCCAUUUGUCCCUCUCUACUGUCUCCCUCCUGGCACUUAUCCUUGCAUGCGGAACAAGUGCUACACCUGUCCCUACACCUCUUCUCUCAUUACCAUUCAGAGCCCAAAACAAUGCUUCCAGCUGAGGUGUCACUUCACCUGUGAGUAUCCAGCACUCCGGUGUGGCCUCCUGUAUAUUGGUGUAGAUUGGGAUACUGCUUCACCGAAAACCUACGCUCCAUUGGCCAAAAAAAGUGGGAUCUCCCAGUCGCCACCCAUUUUAUUCCAGUUUCCAUUCCAACAUGUCAGUCCAUGGCCUCCUCUACUGCUGCGAUGAAGACACACUCAAGUUGGAGGGGGGGACAGUUUAUAUUCCAUCUGGGUAGCCACCAAUCCGAUGGCAUGAACAUCGAAUUUUCAUACUUCUGGUAAUGGCCCCCCCCCAGCAUUCCCCAUUCCCCUCUCUCACUUUACCUCCUUAUCUGCCCAACACCUCCCUCUGGUGCUCCUCCCCCUUCCCUUUCUUUCAUGGCCUUCUGUCCUCUCCUGUCAGAUUCCCCUUCUCCAGCCCUGUAUCUCGUUCCCAGCUCUUUCCUUCACCCUCCCCCCCUCCUGGUUUCACCUAUCACCUACUUCCUUGUCCCUCUUCCUCCCCUCUCCCCCCCACCUACUUACUCUGACUUCUCAUCUCUUUUCUCCAGUCCUGAUGAAGGGUCUUGGCCCAAAACAUCGAUUGCUCACUCUUUUCCGUAGAUGCUGCCUGGCCUGCUGAGUUCCUCCAGUAUUUUGUGUGUGUUGCUCUGGAACUCAGCCAUGUUGUUCAUGUUUAGAACCCGACUUUUACAUAGAAAAAUAAACUUAUUAAGUUGUCCAGGUCAAAACAAGUUAUCAGUAAAUUUAAGGAUCACUUAUUAUCACCUUUGGCAAUAUAUUCCAUAUUUUUGUUGAAUGAGCAUCAUUUUAGUGUGGUGGUGUGAACUACAUAAACCUGUCUGGACACGCCCCCUGCUGACUGCUCCUGUGGCCCCUCCCACUGACUGUGGCUCCUCCCACAGACAAUAGACAAUAGGUGCCGAAGUAGACCAUUCGGCCCCUCGAGUCUGCACCGCCAUUCUGAGAUCAUGGCUGAUCAUUCACCAUCAAUACCCAGUACCUGCCUUGUCCCCAUAUCCCUUGAUUCCCCUAUCCAUCAGA
Molecule: long non-coding RNA, 3554 nt
Organism: Hypanus sabinus (Atlantic stingray)
Lineage: Eukaryota; Metazoa; Chordata; Chondrichthyes; Myliobatiformes; Dasyatidae
Exons: 3
Source: RefSeq, a predicted model, not a curated record